This 253-nucleotide ribosomal RNA is filed under the name uncultured bacterium. Its description in RNAcentral is "partial 16S ribosomal RNA". It matches the Rfam family "Bacterial small subunit ribosomal RNA", at positions 524 to 776 of the family's 1533-position model. The record is from RNAcentral.
GACGAACCGUGCGAACGUUAUUCGGAAUCACUGGGCUUAAAGGGCGCGUAGGCGGGUUCUCAAGUCAGGGGUGAAAUCCCGCGGCUCAACCGCGGAAGUGCCUUUGAUACUGGGGACCUCGAGGGAGGUAGGGGCGUGCGGAACUUCCGGUGGAGCGGUGAAAUGCGUAGAUAUCGGAAGGAACACCGGUGGCGAAAGCGGCGCGCUGGACCUCUUCUGACGCUGAGGCGCGAAAGCCAGGGGAGCAAACGGG